GACGGGGGAUGCCAGCGUUAUCCGGAAUCACUGGGCGUAAAGCGUCUGUAGGAGGUGAUGCAAGUCACUGGUGCAAAACUCUGGCUCAACCGGAGGAAAGCCAGUGAAACUGCAUGACUAGAGUGUGGGAGAGGUAGAAGGAAUUCCCUGAGUAGCGGUGAAAUGCGUAGAUACAGGGAAGAACACCGGAGGCGAAAGCGUUCUACUGGAACACAACUGACAAUGAGAGACGAAAGCUAGGGGAGCGAAUGGG
Molecule: ribosomal RNA, 253 nt
Filed under: uncultured bacterium
Lineage: Bacteria
Description: partial 16S ribosomal RNA
Rfam family: Bacterial small subunit ribosomal RNA
Source: RNAcentral